UACGUAGGGCGCAAGCGUUAUCCGGAAUUAUUGGGCGUAAAGAGCUCGUAGGCGGUUUGUCGCGUCUGCCGUGAAAGUCCGGGGCUCAACUCCGGAUCUGCGGUGGGUACGGGCAGACUAGAGUGAUGUAGGGGAGACUGGAAUUCCUGGUGUAGCGGUGAAAUGCGUAGAUAUCUGGAGGAACACCGGUGGCGAAGGCGGCAUCCUGGACCGAUAUUGACGCUGAGGCGCGAAAGCCAGGGGAGCAAACGGG
RNAcentral lists this ribosomal RNA (253 nucleotides) under uncultured bacterium. RNAcentral describes it as "partial 16S ribosomal RNA". It matches the Rfam family "Bacterial small subunit ribosomal RNA", at positions 524 to 776 of the family's 1533-position model. The record is from RNAcentral.